RNAcentral lists this long non-coding RNA (621 nucleotides) under Drosophila guanche. Lineage: Eukaryota; Metazoa; Arthropoda; Insecta; Diptera; Drosophilidae. The record is from RNAcentral.
CUAAAUUCCUGCUCAAGUAGGAACAAAAUUUCCUAUUGUUUCCCAUAGAUUUUCCUUUUGUUUUUCUGCCAACUCACAAAACUAUGACGAGGCACAUGGAAAACAACAGUUUCCCAACAAUUUUCAUUCAGGAAAUAACAGAAAGAACAGAAUUUUCAGUGAAUAAACAACAAGAACAGCAACAACAAUCGUGAGCAAACCGAAAUGGAAAAAGUUUUAUUGGCAACAAAUUGAAAACGAAAAAAAAAGAGGCCUCCUCGGACCUGCCUCGUUCGGAAACUCCUUCUGGCCAAAGUCCUGUGCUGGAGGAGGUCCUGGCAAUGAAGCGAACCAACAAGUUGCAUAAUUGUUGGCGCAUGAUAAAAUUAAACGGCAUGAAAUGAGCCCCAGCUGCUACUGCCACUGCUGCUCCUUUGCAGGACACUCCCACAGCUUCUCCACUUCUUGAAUCCCUUUUAAACUCCUAUCUGUUUCCCACUCCUCUCUGGAGUUUCCUCUCUGAAUUCCUUUCCUCAUUUGACUGCUCUCCUGCCUGCAGUUUUCCCUUCAUUUGAUUCUCCUCCCCCACCCGCCACACUGCGCUUUCCAUCUUUUUCCAGGUAGCCCAAAAAAGAAAGAGAG